GCUGGGCAUGGUGGCGCAUGCCUGUAAUCCCAGCUAUUAGGGAGGCUGAGGCGGGAGGAUCGCUUGAACCCAGGAGGCAGAGGUUUCAGUGAGCUGAGAUCAUGCCAUUGCACUUCAGCCUGGGUGACAGAAUGAGACCCUGUCUUAA
Molecule: small RNA, 148 nt
Filed under: Macaca mulatta (Rhesus monkey)
Lineage: Eukaryota; Metazoa; Chordata; Mammalia; Primates; Cercopithecidae
Description: Metazoan signal recognition particle RNA (ENSMMUG00000061138.1)
Source: Rfam by way of RNAcentral